GCAGGAUCAGUUUGCUACUGUUAACCGAUCACAGAAGACGGUGAGGCUCCGCCAGCCCUAGUGGUCGAUUAUAUUUCAAGCUCCAGACACUAGUCAAUUUAUAGGAUAUAUCAAGAGCUCCGUCAGAAAUAGUAACUUAAAGGCGGCAAGGAACAGACGCUCAAGGAAGUCGUGGAUAGAAGCUGUAACCACGACACAUAUUAAUAAGACUGGCGAAUAAAAAUACUAGAGCUCUCAUUCGCAUUACCACGCUAUCAUGAAUUUUUUUAAUCUACAAAAGCGAGAUUCCUUUCUUUCUAUAAAGAUGCACGCGACAAAGCCUAGCAUUACCAACAUCAAGGAAACACUUGUAAGAUGUUUUUGUAAAUUUUAUUUCUUGAUGGAAGAAUGAUUUUUGUUGGUUAUUGUUCAGCAGGAGUUAAAUUCGUAUUGUAGCUUUUUUGUAGUUUUAUCCUUACCUGUAAUUACCUUUAGAGGAAAUUAACUUUUGAUAAUUAUUUUAGUUUAGAAAUAAUUUGAUUACUGUUUUUUUGUAUAAUGUAUUUUGUAUAAUGCAUGUGACUUUAUUGAUUAAUUUUUGAAUGUAUGAUAGCUUUUUGUAGUUUCUAGAGUAAAUAACUUUUGAUAGUAAAAUGUUUUUAUGACAGAAAUAAUUUGAUUUGAAUACUUUUAUUUUGCUUUUUGUGACCUGAAUGUUUAAUUUUUAAAUAUAACUUAAAUUAUUUGAAUGUGUCUUGUCCAUUUGAAAAUCUGUAGUAUAUAUUAAAUUUUAUCUUAGUACAACGAACAAACCUGUAUUUAGUCAGGGUACCAACAGUGAGCAAAACUGCGUCUUGGGUAGUAAUAUUAGCAAUGGCAAUAAUAUAAGUAAACCCGGUAUCUGUGACAGAAAUAAAAUUAUUAAACCUAUCUGUUAGUAAUGAGCUAAUCUAUAUCUGGCCGUAUGAGCUGUCUAUGGCAGUAAUGAGCUAAGCAUGGGAGUAAUGAGCAAUGGCAGUAAUGAAAUUAGCAAACUUUUAGUUUGUGGUAACGAUAUGAGCAACCCUAUUAAUGUAGUAAUAUGAGCAAACCUAUAUGAUUAAACCUGUUAUCUGUGGCUGUAGUAAGCAAACCUAUUACCUAUGGCAGCAAUAUGAGCAAUCACUAAUAUAAUGAGCAAACCGGUUAUAGAUUGGAGAAAUAUGAAACCUAUGAACUAUGGCAGAAAUAAACAAACCAGGAAUAUAAUAAAUAUUAUAGAUGCCAAAUGCAUGAGCAAAAAUACGAGGCAUUUCAGUUUCAUGUCAAGAAAUUUUAUACCAGUUUCACUGGCACUUUGCUAAGCAGCUAUGGUCACUAGAAUUAUAGCAUUAGCUCUGACACCCUAGCAGUGAUUUAAUUAGAUGGUUCUGACAAGCGCCUCAGUGGCGUGGUUGGUAUGGUGUUGGCGUCCCACCUCGGUGGUCGCGAGUUAAGGCCUGUCCACACGAGCGGGACUGAUCGGCGUGCUCCGGGGUUGACGGGCAGAUUCUGGCGGGCUUACCCGUGAAUGUUGUCCACACAGGUGAGGCGAUGGAGAGGUGGGCGUACCCGACGAUGCCAGUAGUUGCGGUACGAUAAACAUGGUGCCUACCGCAAAGAAGAAGGUAGUGUAGCAUGAUAAUUGCUUUGUGUGAUGAAAAAGAAGAGAAUAUGGUGCAAAGAAUGGCUCAGUACAAGAAAUGUAUAUGGUUAACGUACGUCUGCCAGGGCCAAAGUUCAAGCCAUCGGGCUCCACAAUGGUGAUUUUGCUACAAGACCCAUCGGGCAAUUUGACGGUUUGCCCGUCAAGUGCGCCCGUUAGGCGCUGUCCACACUACCGGGCAGUGCCCGACGGGCAAACACUGUUACCAUACCCCGUUUCAAGACACAAGGUGGGAGAGUGAUCGGCAGGCACAAAUGGAGGUGAUUAAAGAUGGGGAAACCUCGGGCAAACUAGCGAGUAACCCGUGAGUGUAGUUGAGUAAAACACCAGAAACUGACGUGUCCGGUGGUUUGUUUAACCAACGCUGGUGUCAGCACAAUAGGUUUCCAGGACCAUAGUUUAUUAUCGAUCUCUCACUUACAAAAGGGUGUUCUAAGUAUAGUCAUCAUGUCCGGCAAAGAAACUACACACAUUCACUGGUCAAGAGAAGAAAUCAUACAAUUACCACAGGGGAUAUAAAACGGAAAAUAGAAACCCUGUGCGAAAUCAACACAGACGUGGAAUGCGAUUGGUUGAAAACUCACGCAAGUCAGGAGCUGGGAUAGACGACAUUUACAUCCCCAGAUUAUGGUGUUUUAAUGACCUUUCUUUCCUUAAUGAUGGUGACACAAUCAGACCAUCUCUCUCAAACAUAGAUAAUGCCACCAACGAUACAGCUGAGGAGGAACAUUCUGAUCAUGAGAUUUUCAACGGUCCAGUACUGAUGGGAGUUGGUGAAACAUCUCUUGCAGCAACG
This is a long non-coding RNA of Macrobrachium nipponense, 2459 nucleotides long. RefSeq lists it as uncharacterized. The transcript has 4 exons. Lineage: Eukaryota; Metazoa; Arthropoda; Malacostraca; Decapoda; Palaemonidae. The record is from RefSeq and is a predicted model, not a curated record.